This 253-nucleotide ribosomal RNA is filed under the name uncultured bacterium. RNAcentral's name for it is "partial 16S ribosomal RNA". It matches the Rfam family "Bacterial small subunit ribosomal RNA", at positions 524 to 776 of the family's 1533-position model. The record is from RNAcentral.
UACAGAGGUCUCAAGCGUUGUUCGGAUUCAUUGGGCGUAAAGGGCGCGUAGGUGGUGAUGCAAGUCUGGUGUGAAAUCUCGGAGCUCAACUCCGAAAUUGCACCGGAUACUGCGUGACUCGAGGACUGUAGAGGAGAUCGGAAUUCACGGUGUAGCAGUGAAAUGCGUAGAUAUCGUGAGGAAGACCAGUUGCGAAGGCGGAUCUCUGGGCAGUUCCUGACACUGAGGCACGAAGGCCAGGGGAGCAAACGGG